CAGCAAUGCCCUGCUCCCAGCAGGAAAACCACUUGGGGUGCAGGUUUGUGAAAGAGGAGCAGGAUUAGGGCUGCAAGGGGGAAAUAGAGUCACCCUGCUCCUGGUCCUGCAGCGUGGAUGUGAGUCUGGGACUGACUGGACUUGGCUGAGCCUCCUGGAUGGGUGUUUGCAGGUUAAAAUAAAACACCAGCACGGUCCCUGCUGGACUUGCAGCUCCUGGAAACAGAGACAGCCCCAGUGUAUAACAGGAUCCUCACUGCUGUUCUGGGGCUUGAAUAACAUUAUGCAUAGACAAGACAUUUUGGGUAAACUUUUGCCCUCAAUAUUAUGACUGAUUUUCUCCUGGCCCUUCAUCCUGCAAAGACAAGAUUUUUCAUCCUGAUUCAGAAUGGGAGGAAUAAUCUCCAGGUGGGAAUUAUUCACAUGCCCUGGUUCAGGACCAGCUGCACCUCAGUCAAC
RNAcentral lists this long non-coding RNA (459 nucleotides) under Parus major (Great Tit). RNAcentral's name for it is "lncRNA (ENSPMJG00000019629.1)". The record is from RNAcentral. Lineage: Eukaryota; Metazoa; Chordata; Aves; Passeriformes; Paridae.